AGUGUGAAUGCUGCGGAGCAGGCGUGGUCUGUGACACGGUUGUUGUUGUUAUCAUGGGUUCCUAAGCAACCAAGAGUGCUUCCGAGCGUGACAGAUGUUUAUGCUGGACUUCACUCCUGGGAGCGCACAGUUUUUUAUUGAAAAAAAAAAGAGUGACGGCUCCUUAGCUGCGCGGGUUCACGCGAGCACGGUUGCGCGGGUUUCACGCAGACCUGAGCCCUGCGGUUAAUCGCAGGUUUACAAAUGGAAGAGAUUCAAAUGUUAGAAGUUUUCAGGAAAACAGCAGCCUUGAAGAGCGUGUGGAGAAGGCCAGCCCACAUCAGCAGCAGUUAAGAUAUGCUCUUGUGAAUGGCUUUCCCCCACCCCUUGCUGACAUAAAAUGUUUAGAUGAUUCUUUAGAUUGCCCUGAUCAACAACAGCCUGUGCUCCAGACCAUUAAUUUAACCAGUUGUUCAUUGGCCAUAUGAUUUAUUUACGCAGAUCAAAAGAGUGAGUGUGAAUGUGCCUGAUGUCACAGUGUGUGCGCUGUGUAAAUGUAAUUGUCACAAAUUGUGAGAGCGGUGAUUCUGCAGGUCACCAGCUAGUGUAAAGAAAGGAAGAGUAAAAAAGAGACAAAAUCUACAUUGUAGAUGAAAAAUCAUAGGAAAAAGGUUUUGUGUUUAUCAGCCAAGAACAACUACAAUCUUAUUUUCUGCUUUUAAGAAAGAAGAGUUCGAAAGACAGAGAGAGAGAGGUGUGUGUUGUUUAAGCAGAGAUGAUAAUAAUGAAAAUGUCUUAGUUUGUCACUUUCAGAUGAAAAGCAGAUCGAUUUUCCACAUGCAGCGGUCGGAAGAAAGUUAUAGUUUAACAUCAUUGGGAACGUUCAGGCCAAAUUUCUGGCUAACUUAUUUACAGCACCAUGUGUCCCUCAUCCUCACAAGUGAGCUCUCACUCCUCCCUGAAGACAAGGAAUGCAGUUCCAAAGAGCAAUAACAUGGCAGAUAAAGAGACUGCAGCAAAGUGCUGGGCAGAGAGUCCCAGCAAGCAGCAGCAGUGUGAACAAACAGCAUCGGAGAAGAAAAGCAAACCCAUCAUCCUGACUGAUUGGAUGAAUGACACUGUGUUUCCAACAAGCUGCAAAAUUCACUGUGCAUGUGAAAAGGAUGUUUGAGGAGAACUGAGGAGACUGUUGGAGUUUGACAUUUGCCACUUUCGGAGCAAGAUGGCAAGAAGAGACAGUGGAACACAGGACAAAGCUGAAGAAGAACUGCCGGCUAUUGGACUGCUGAAGUGGGAGAGAACAACAGAGUGGGAGCAGUAGGCCUUGAUGUCUUUGGACCGUGGACCAUAACAACCAGGUGUACCAGGGGCGGAGUAGGUGAAAGUAAGCGGUGGGCCAUCAUGUACACCUCCAUGAGUUCGAGA
Molecule: long non-coding RNA, 1404 nt
Organism: Oreochromis aureus
Lineage: Eukaryota; Metazoa; Chordata; Actinopteri; Cichliformes; Cichlidae
Source: Ensembl